GACAUAGUAGAAUAUUUUUAGAAUUGCAAAAACAAGUGAAAAAUGAAGUAAUAACAUUUAUACAUCUUUUUAUUUAGCUAAACCUAUUAGAAUUAAAUUUCAAAAUUUUCAUGUAAAAAUUAACUUUAAUUAUAAUCAUUUCAUUAUGUUACAUAUGAACUAAGUAAAAAUGCCACGUCCACUCUUAAAAGAUACAAUCAAGAGCGGUAAGUUAUAUUAAUUUUUUUGACAGUAUCACGCAUAAUUAACCAUAAUUAAUGAUAGAAAAUUAAUUCUAGAAUAUGUUAUCGAUGAAAAUCAUAAACCAUCGAGUAAAGCAAUUAAAUUUAAAAAAUCCGUAACUACAACAAGUCGUAAAUUUAAUUCAACCGUGAAAAAUCGAGAUCGUUUAGUAGGAGGAGCAGAUGCUCCUGAGGAACAAAAAGACAUAUUGAAACUGCCAGAAGAAACGGAAGAAAAAACUCGUACAGCUGGACCAUGUUGUACUUGUUUGGCGCAAGUACCAGGAUCAACCGGUUGAUGUUCGUCGAUAUACUUGGUCGAAUACAACAAUGGAGCGGUUUGGUUCAAAACAAAUUGGAUAUUUGUAACAAUGAAAUUGAAACAUUGCGUGAAGAAUUAAUAGCACGAGCUUGUGAAAUCGAAAAUCUAAAAAAUUUAUUGGGAGAAUGUGAAAAAGAACGUGCAGCCGCUCUAAUUCAAGCGGCUAAAGCACAAGAAGAAGCAAUUCAAAUUGGUGAACGUUUUGAAAUUCAUAAAAAACAAGAAGAAGAAAGAAGAAAGAUAAUUCCAGAAGUAACAAAAGAAAUAAAAGAACCAACAGAAAUAAAAGAACCAAAAGAAGUAAAAGAACCAAUAGAAAUAAAAGAACCAAAAGAAGUAAAAGAACCAAAAGAAGUAAAAGAACCAAAAGAAAUAAAAGAACCAAAAGAAAUAAAAGAAGGAAACGAGCCUGAAAAAGAAAAGAUAGAAAUUAUUUGUACAGAUGCAGCUAUUCAAUCAAUUUUGAAAGACAAAGAAAAAAGACGAGAAAUUGAAGUAAAUUAAGAUUUUUUUUAUUUUUUUAUUGUAAAUUCAAAUAAAACAUUAAAAUAAUAAUUUGUUUAAAUAGCUUGAAGGUGAAAUAGCAAGACUCCGCAAAGAAAAUGAACGUAUUAUAAAAGAACGUGCUGAAUAUGAGAAUGCGAUACAACGAGCAUUACUUCGAGGUGUUUCAUCUUUGAAUGUCGAAGCAUUGAAAGUUUUACGUUGUCCACCAAUUCCAUGUUGUACUCCUUGUGCACCUUGUCCUGCUUCUGCUAUAGAAUCGGUUGUACCAUGUGCCAAGAAAGGCACUACGUCAACUGGGAUCGCUAAAAAUUGCGGCACUAAACGUAUCGGUAACGGAAGCACCGUUCAUGAAGAAAAUUGCACUGUGAAACGACCUUGCGCCAGUCCUUGUU
Apis dorsata (giant honeybee) is the source of this 1442-nucleotide RNA transcript. It is a transcript of the gene named probable serine/threonine-protein kinase kinX, with no coding region annotated. The record is from RefSeq and is a predicted model, not a curated record. Lineage: Eukaryota; Metazoa; Arthropoda; Insecta; Hymenoptera; Apidae. The transcript is spliced from 4 exons.